CGAAAGACCUGUCUCAGUUCGGAUUGGAGUCUGCAACUCGACUCCAUGAAGCUGGAUUCGCUAGUAAUCGCGCAUCAGCCAUGGCGCGGUGAAUACGUUCCCGGGCCUUGUACACACGCCCGUCAAGCCAUGGGAGCCGGGGGUGCCUGAAGUACGUGACCGCGAGGAGCGUCCUAGGGCAAAACUGGUGACUGGGGCUAAGUCGUAACAAGGUACC
Molecule: ribosomal RNA, 217 nt
Filed under: uncultured bacterium
Lineage: Bacteria
Description: partial 16S ribosomal RNA
Rfam family: Bacterial small subunit ribosomal RNA
Source: RNAcentral